RNAcentral lists this ribosomal RNA (467 nucleotides) under uncultured bacterium. Its description in RNAcentral is "partial 16S ribosomal RNA". It matches the Rfam family "Bacterial small subunit ribosomal RNA", at positions 29 to 507 of the family's 1533-position model. The record is from RNAcentral.
ACGAACGCUGGCGGCGUGCUUAACGCAUGCAAGUCGAACGGAAGGGCCCUGCUUUUGUGGGGUGCUCGAGUGGCGAACGGGUGAGUAACACGUGAGUAACCUGCCCUUGACUUUGGGAUAACUUCAGGAAACUGGGGCUAAUACCGGAUAGGAGCUCCUGCUGCAUGGUGGGGGUUGGAAAGUUUCGGCGGUUGGGGAUGGACUCGCGGCUUAUCAGCUUGUUGGUGGGGUAGUGGCUUACCAAGGCUUUGACGGGUAGCCGGCCUGAGAGGGUGACCGGCCACAUUGGGACUGAGAUACGGCCCAGACUCCUACGGGAGGCAGCAGUGGGGAAUAUUGCACAAUGGGCGGAAGCCUGAUGCAGCAACGCCGCGUGCGGGAUGACGGCCUUCGGGUUGUAAACCGCUUUCGCCUGUGACGAAGCGUGAGUGACGGUAAUGGGUAAAGAAGCACCGGCUAACUACGUG